CGAACGAACGCUGGCGGCAGGCCUAACACAUGCAAGUCGAGCGCCCCGCAAGGGGAGCGGCGGACGGGUGAGUAACGCGUGGGAACGUACCCUUUGCUACGGAAUAGCCUCGGGAAACUGGGAGUAAUACCGUAUGUGCCCUUCGGGGGGAAAAGAUUUAUCGGCAAAGGAUCGGCCCGCGUUGGAUUAGGUAGUUGGUGGGGUAAUGGCCUACCAAGCCGACGAUCCAUAGCUGGUUUGAGAGGAUGAUCAGCCACACUGGGACUGAGACACGGCCCAGACUCCUACGGGAGGCAGCAGUGGGGAAUCUUAGACAAUGGGCGCAAGCCUGAUCUAGCCAUGCCGCGUGAGCGAUGAAGGCCUUAGGGUUGUAAAGCUCUUUCAGUGGGGAAGAUAAUGACUGUACCCACAGAAGAAGCCCCGGCUAACUCCGUG
This 435-nucleotide ribosomal RNA is filed under the name uncultured bacterium. Its description in RNAcentral is "bacterial SSU rRNA". It matches the Rfam family "Bacterial small subunit ribosomal RNA", at positions 27 to 507 of the family's 1533-position model. The record is from RNAcentral.